Capsicum annuum is the source of this 107-nucleotide non-coding RNA. The record is from Rfam. NCBI's taxonomy places the organism in Eukaryota, Viridiplantae, Streptophyta, Magnoliopsida, Solanales, Solanaceae.
CUUGAAUCAGUGGGUUUAGACGCUAGAAAACUCAUAAAUUUACUGAUGUUUAUCAGUUUCUUCUCUUGAAUAUCAAUGGUAUAAAGUUAAAUGACAACACUUAAUUU